This 1168-nucleotide long non-coding RNA is filed under the name Mus musculus (house mouse). RNAcentral describes it as "predicted gene, 32341". Lineage: Eukaryota; Metazoa; Chordata; Mammalia; Rodentia; Muridae. The record is from RNAcentral.
UGGUAUAUCCAGAGAGACGUUUUAAUGAACACCUGGCACAACACUGGCAAACAGGAACGAAGCCACAACGCGAACGCAGAGCGGACACAGGCCAGGCGGGGCUUGGAGCCAGGGCCACUCCGCAUCCCUCCCUAAGUUUGUUGUUAGUAAAGUGCUGUUCCUGGGUCUCAAAACCCGGGAAGGGAAGGGCAACAGUGAAAUUUAUUCACACACUGCAAUUGAAGAAUUCGCCUGAAAAGACACGCAGCGAGCAAAGGUGACCCCUCCUCAUUUGUGCAAGAGGAGGUGGGAAAGCGGACAGCCACCAAACACACACCAAACACCACACCCGGCGCGAGCCCCUCUCCUCCAGGAGACAGGCUUCCUCGCACUACUCGCGCUAAUGCGCUAAUCGGGUAGAGGAGUAAAAUUCCGUGAUACAAGUGACUUUUUUUUUUUUUAAAAGUCUAAAUGGAACUGAUCGUGGGAAUGAACUCUGUUCUCAGGCUUCGUAACGGUUUCUCAUCCGAUUGAUACACAGAGGAGUCGCAGGUGGAAAGUCGCCUUUAUUGUCUCUCUCUGGGGGCUCCCCAAACUUUACUUUUGGAAUCUGGAGCUUUGCUCUUUAAGCCUCCGCCUUUCUCUUUUGUGCGAACUAAUUACUUUAGCUGUCCCUACUAUCCUCCUCGACCCCGGGUCACAGCCACGAAAUGUAACCGUUUCUCAAAGAACCCACUAACCCCCUCUGUACCCCCCGCCCCCGCCGUAACAGCGAGUUUAUUCCCGGUGUCGUUUUCUUGUCCAUUUUCCUGACCACGGAAAUAAUGAGACAAAACAUGCUCCUUCCCUUACCAUCGAAGGCAAGUUUUCCUCAAAAGGCAGGCGGCUGCGGACUCCGGGGGACUGAAGCCUGGGCUCUGAAGUCCAUUUCUGUCACUCUGUUGGGCUUCUCCCGGAUUAGGUCGUCCAGGUCCUGCUCCAGAAAAGAGGUCGCCUAAAGUAGACUUGGGAAAUAAGAAAACACAAGCACGUUUGGAAUUCCUCUCCCACCCAGAGCUCCAACUUGGAUCAUUAACUGCCUGGAAACGGUGAAUGCCAUACAAAGGAUGCGAUGGCACAGUGAACGGCGCUUAUGCCAGAAGAAAACCAUGUAUGGGUGCAUUAUUAAAGUGCCAAGGAGAGUCAGGAG